GCAUAUCAAUAAGCGGAGGAAAAGAAACUAACAAGGAUUCCCCUAGUAGCGGCGAGCGAAGCGGGAAGAGCUCAAAUUUAUAAUCUGGCACCUUCGGUGUCCGAGUUGUAAUCUCUAGAAAUGUUUUCCGCGUUGGACCGCACACAAGUCUGUUGGAAUACAGCGGCAUAGUGGUGAGACCCCCGUAUAUGGUGCGGACGCCCAGCGCUUUGUGAUACAUUUUCGAAGAGUCGAGUUGUUUGGGAAUGCAGCUCAAAUUGGGUGGUAAAUUCCAUCUAAAGCUAAAUAUUGGCGAGAGACCGAUAGCGAACAAGUACCGUGAGGGAAAGAUGAAAAGCACUUUGGAAAGAGAGUUAACAGUACGUGAAAUUGUUGGAAGGGAAACGCUUGAAGUCAGACUUGCUUGCCGAGCAAUCGGUUUGCAGGCCAGCAUCAGUUUUCCGGGAUGGAUAAUGGUAGAGAGAAGGUAGCAGUUUCGGCUGUGUUAUAGCUCUCUGCUGGAUACAUCUUGGGGGACUGAGGAACGCAGUGUGCCUUUUGGCGGGGGUUUCGACCUCUUCACACUUAGGAUGCUGGUGGAAUGGCUUUAAACGACCCGUCUUGAAACACGGACC
This 614-nucleotide ribosomal RNA is filed under the name Rhodotorula mucilaginosa. RNAcentral's name for it is "eukaryotic LSU rRNA". It matches the Rfam family "Eukaryotic large subunit ribosomal RNA", at positions 38 to 667 of the family's 3401-position model. The record is from RNAcentral. Lineage: Eukaryota; Fungi; Basidiomycota; Microbotryomycetes; Sporidiobolales; Sporidiobolaceae.